GCUCUUCAAUGCUUGGCCAAUAGAGCAUGUGACUCAUAAUCUCACGGUUGUGGGUUCAAGCCCCACGUUGGGCA
Podarcis lilfordi (Lilford's wall lizard) is the source of this 74-nucleotide non-coding RNA. The record is from the annotation of a GenBank genome assembly. NCBI's taxonomy places the organism in Eukaryota, Metazoa, Chordata, Lepidosauria, Squamata, Lacertidae.